CGCAGGUAUGGAGAAGGGGAAUCCCGCUGGAGUGGAAUGGUGGAGUGGAUACCUCGCUGAUGUAGGAUGGAGUGGGGACAACGAGGUUGGACAACUGGCUGAGACGGUGGAGCCUGGCAAUAUCCCUGACAUUACACCCCUCCCCCGAAAAACCCCGCCGACGUGGUGGUUGUCCUCUUCCACGGGGAGCAGGUUGAUCCGGGUGGACGGCCCGGGGGUUGGCUAUGUGCGGAGCAGAGACCAAAACCAUCUAGAGGCCUGACGGAAUCCCUGAUGGGGAGCAUGAGUGUGAUAGGGAGCAGGAAACUGACCCAGAAGAGGAGCAGAUGAAGGGCCUCAUUGUGGAUAUCCUCACUGUGUUGGAGGAUGAUGAUAGUUCAGCUCUUGCACGAGUUAUAAAUGUUGCUGUUAUUUUAGAAGAAGACAUUGUCCUUCAGGAUCUCCUUGACCUGCCAACGGCUUUUGCUUACCUCCAGUACCCAAAAGAACUAAGGUACGCAUUUGAAACCAUUCAGAAGGUUUUCAUGGAACUUGGAACAGAUCCCUCAGAAACAAAUUCCUUCAGUGAAUCCAGCAAGUUAGCUGAUAAUGUAGGGUCUGAGACAGUUUUGAAUUGCAGAAGUUCCUCUUGCCCCUAGAAUUAUGUAAAUCUCAGUUGCCUGAUAUGGAUCCUCCUCUACCUCUUCUCCUUUUACUCUCUCUCCUUUUUCUGUCUUCUUUUUCUCAAGUUACCUCUCUUCUCUCACCCUCUUCUCCCCUUUUCCCCUCUCCUCCCUCAAUCUGUCACCCUAACUUGUCUAACUUCCUUACUCCUCAUACUUUAUUCACAUAUUCUCCCUUUCUCACUCAAAUUCUGACCUCUAAAACUCUCUUCUGUCGAGCCAACAUCAUGUUAAUUCAUCGCUGUUACUCCUAAACUCUUAUCUAACUCCUUUUCUUUUUUUGUCUCCCUACCUGCCCAUCUGUCACGCUCAGACAUGCCUGAAUGCUCCCUUACAUUUAUCCAGCACAAUAUUGGAUUUUCUUCACCACAUGGCUUAUGUUAAGAUGUAAUUGUGUGUAAAUUGAAGACAUACCA
Molecule: long non-coding RNA, 1078 nt
Organism: Siniperca chuatsi (mandarin fish)
Lineage: Eukaryota; Metazoa; Chordata; Actinopteri; Centrarchiformes; Sinipercidae
Exons: 3
Source: RefSeq, a predicted model, not a curated record